RNAcentral lists this transfer RNA (76 nucleotides) under Mesorhizobium sp. L2C054A000. RNAcentral describes it as "tRNA-Asp". The stretch from base 4 to 68 matches the Rfam family "tRNA", at positions 5 to 66 of the family's 71-position model. Rfam says of the family: Transfer RNA (tRNA) molecules are approximately 80 nucleotides in length. Their secondary structure includes four short double-helical elements and three loops (D, anti-codon, and T loops). The record is from RNAcentral. Lineage: Bacteria; Pseudomonadati; Pseudomonadota; Alphaproteobacteria; Hyphomicrobiales; Phyllobacteriaceae.
GUNGUGUAGCUCAGUUGGUUAGAGUGCCGGCCUGUCACGCCGGAGGUCGCGGGUUCGAGCCCCGUCACUCGCGCCA